UAUUAAAAAAAAAAUUAACUAAUAUAAAUUUGAAAAAUAAUCUUUGCAUUUUAUAACUCACGUCACAAGUUCAUAUAUAUUUGCGACCAACGUCAUGUCAGAACUUUGCGUCAUAGCUUUAUACUUUUUUCAUUCAUUAAAAACAAUUUUAAUUUGUUAAUCAACAAAUAAAUUCCAUGUUGCGCAAAAUCAAAUAUCAUUCUAAACUUUAAAGCAUUUUACAGAAUGCGUUCAAGUUAAUUAGCAGUCGUGACAUUUUUAAUAUAGUAACCGCGUUAAAGUUUUAUAACUAACUGCUUAUUUAAAAAAUGCACACUUCAUUUUUACAACAUUUUAUAUCGGAUAUUGAUCAAAGCCGUAAGCAAAAGAAAGGAUUGAAAUCUAAAAUUUAGCUGGGUUAUAGUAAAAAAACUCCAACCUGACCGGUCAAUCCAGUUGCUUUUUCUGGUCUAAGACACACCACCUUUAACAAGUUUAACAGGAGUAAUUUUACCAAAUGUUUAUUUAUUUUAGAUUUACAUCGUCAUGGCAACUAGUCGACCGUUAAUUAGCUAUUACGUGACAUACAUCUACUUCAACUUUGUUAAUGAAUGAGUUUAUUAUCAAAAUUAAAUUUUGGUAUCUUAUAUCGGAAGUUUAAUAACUUUUGUUGCAUUAAAUGAUUCAAUGCGUUUCCAAUUCUUUAACAAUCUUAGUUUUAGGCUUUGGUUUUUGAUUCAUAUAAAAUUAGUUAUCAAAAAUGAACAUGUCUGGAGUCGAAGUUCAAGGUUCUAUAACCAGAAAACGGAAGUUAAGAAACGGAAUUGUAAAAAAAUAUGUUUUUGUACAUUCAACAAUUAUAUAAGUUAUACAAUGGUGUUUCAUGAACUGUAGAGUCUUCAUAAAGUGAUGGCCUAAAAUUUUGAAAAAUUUAAGCUUGAUGAAGUUUUUUUGAUAAUAAUUUUCAAAUGAAUGGAGAUUAACGAGCGUAGAACUAUGCUCUACAACCGAUGGAUUUAUUAAGGAUAGCUAGUGGAAUAUAAAGUAGAUGUUUAAACAAUAUUUAGAAGUUUAAAAUAAUUAGAUUCUAAUUUUUUUU
Long non-coding RNA from Hydra vulgaris (swiftwater hydra), 1078 nucleotides. RefSeq lists it as uncharacterized. NCBI's taxonomy places the organism in Eukaryota, Metazoa, Cnidaria, Hydrozoa, Anthoathecata, Hydridae. The record is from RefSeq and is a predicted model, not a curated record.